GUGCUCACUUUGGCAGCACAUAUGCUAAAAUCGGAAUGAUACAGAGAAGAUUAGCCUGGCCCCUGCACAAAGAUGACAUGGAAAUUCUUGAAGUAUCCCAUAUUUUG
Bos indicus x Bos taurus (hybrid cattle) is the source of this 107-nucleotide small nuclear RNA. The record is from Ensembl. Lineage: Eukaryota; Metazoa; Chordata; Mammalia; Artiodactyla; Bovidae.